GAUCCUGGCUCAGGAUGAACGCUAGCGGCAGGCUUAACACAUGCAAGGUCGAGGGGGUAGAGGAAGCCUUGCUUCUGAGACCGGCGCACGGGUGCGUAACGCGUAUACAAUCUACCUUUCACAGAGGGAUAGCCCAGAGAAAUUUGGAUUAAUACCUCAUAGUAUAGCAGUUUCGCAUGAAACCACUAUUAAAGUUCCAACGGUGAAAGAUGAGCAUGCGUCCCAUUAGCUAGAUGGUAAGGUAACGGCUUACCAUGGCUACGAUGGGUAGGGUCCUGAGAGGGAGAUCCCCCACACUGGUACUGAGACACGGUCCAGACUCCUACGGGAGGCAGCAGUGGGGAAUUUUGGACAAUGGGGGCAACCCUGAUCCAGCAAUGCCGCGUGAGUGAAGAAGGCCCUCGGGUUGUAAAGCUCUUUUGUCAGGGAAGAAACGGUGAAUCCUAAUAUGGUUUGCUAAUGACGGUACCUGAAGAAUAAGCACCGGCUAACUACGUG
Molecule: ribosomal RNA, 498 nt
Filed under: uncultured bacterium
Lineage: Bacteria
Description: bacterial SSU rRNA
Rfam family: Bacterial small subunit ribosomal RNA
Source: RNAcentral